GUCGAACGCCCCGCAAGGGGAGUGGCAGACGGGUGAGUAACGCGUGGGAAUCUACCGUGCCCUGCGGAAUAGCUCCGGGAAACUGGAAUUAAUACCGCAUACGCCCUACGGGGGAAAGAUUUAUCGGGGUAUGAUGAGCCCGCGUUGGAUUAGCUAGUUGGUGGGGUAAAGGCCUACCAAGGCGACGAUCCAUAGCUGGUCUGAGAGGAUGAUCAGCCACAUUGGGACUGAGACACGGCCCAAACUCCUACGGGAGGCAGCAGUGGGGAAUAUUGGACAAUGGGCGCAAGCCUGAUCCAGCCAUGCCGCGUGAGUGAUGAAGGCCUUAGGGUUGUAAAGCUCUUUCACCGGAGAAGAUAAUGACGGUAUCCGGAGAAGAAGCCCCGGCUAACUUCGUGCCAGCAGCCGCGGUAAUACGAAGGGGGCUAGCGUUGUUCGGAWUUACUGGGCGUAAAGCGC
Molecule: ribosomal RNA, 459 nt
Filed under: uncultured bacterium
Lineage: Bacteria
Description: bacterial SSU rRNA
Rfam family: Bacterial small subunit ribosomal RNA
Source: RNAcentral